Homo sapiens (human) is the source of this 1002-nucleotide long non-coding RNA. Ensembl annotates it as long intergenic non-protein coding RNA 1273. The record is from Ensembl. NCBI's taxonomy places the organism in Eukaryota, Metazoa, Chordata, Mammalia, Primates, Hominidae.
GGUUGACGUGGGAAUACAGCUGGGCACACAGGAGGCCCUCAGUGGAGGCUGGUUUCUUUGGCCCAGUGCCACAUGGAGCCCGUCCACUGGCUGAGCUGGGGGCCUGAUUGUGGCCACUCAACGUCUCUGUAAAGCUCAGGGUCUGCCUUGAGAUCCUGCACUUACCACGGAGUGGCCCUGCCUUGGGGACCCAUCUCACCUCACUUCUGCCCUCCUUUCUGGUUCAUGACUCAGCCAUCCACUAACCUCCCGUGGUAGCACUGUGGCCACUCUGUAAACGACAGCACCACUGGUGUCUCAUUGGGGGCCAGUCUGGAAGAGGGAGACCACCCUAGGCAUUUCAGACAGAAGGGAUGGAAUACAGGCAUUGCUUACACAGAGGACGGACGAGCCGAGAUGCAGAAAGGCCAGGUGAAGCAUUGGCCACAGCUGGAGGCGCUCCACCCUAGGCCAGCGGGACAGAAGGAAGCUGGGUCCGAGAAGCCAGGGCUUGGAGCCACAGUGGGGGCUGCCUGGAAGAACAUUCCAACACAGACCACAACACCUAUGGACCUGGAAAACAUUGUGCUCAGUGAAAGAAGCCAGACACAGAAGGACAAUGUUGUAUGAGGGACACAUUCCAGCAAAAAGACACAAAGUGACAGAAUGGCUGCCUUUGAGUGGGGGUGAGAAGAGGUGGAUGGCAGGUACCAGAAGAGAAGGGAAUAAAUAUAUGAAGAAAUACAACCCCCUCGGGCAGUGCCUGGCACAGCAUAAAUGCCCAGGAAAAAGAGGCCCAGUUGCUUACGUUCCCGGCGACAGGGCCGGGACCAGCGCCGGCUUCCUGGUGAAGGAGGCCACCCUUUCCUCUUGAGGGGUCUGAGUAUGCAUGUCAGCACCCGGUGGGCACCCAGCACCCAGCUGACCAGGGGCCUUCACCUCUGUGGGGGUUACCGGCCUGGCCCUGAGAACUGGAUGAAAGCUGGAAUAAUUCUUUCUGUAAUAAAGCAAACGCAACCACGU